RNAcentral lists this ribosomal RNA (402 nucleotides) under uncultured Woodsholea sp. Its description in RNAcentral is "bacterial SSU rRNA". It matches the Rfam family "Bacterial small subunit ribosomal RNA", at positions 353 to 772 of the family's 1533-position model. Lineage: Bacteria; Pseudomonadati; Pseudomonadota; Alphaproteobacteria; Maricaulales; Maricaulaceae. The record is from RNAcentral.
AGUGGGGAAUCUUGGACAAUGGGCGCAAGCCUGAUCCAGCCAUGCCGCGUGAGUGAUGAAGGCCUUAGGGUUGUAAAACUCUUUCGCCGAGGACGAUAAUGACGGUACUCGGAGAAGAAGCUCCGGCUAACUUCGUGCCAGCAGCCGCGGUAAUACGAAGGGGGCUAGCGUUGUUCGGAUUUACUGGGCGUAAAGCGCGUGUAGGCGGAUUUGUAAGUUGGGGGUGAAAUCCCGAGGCUCAACCUCGGAACUGCCUCCAAAACUACAAGUCUGGAGCAAGAUAGAGGCAAGUGGAAUUGCGAGUGUAGAGGUGAAAUUCGUAGAUAUUCGCAGGAACACCAGUGGCGAAGGCGACUUGCUGGAUCUUUGCUGACGCUGAGACGCGAAAGCGUGGGGAGCAAA